GAUGAACGCUGGCGGCGUGCCUAAUACAUGCAAGUCGAACGGAGACAUUGUAGCAAUACGAUGUUCUUAGUGGCGAACGGGUGAGUAAUACAUCGGAACGUGUCCUGAAGUGGGGGAUAACGCAUCGAAAGAUGUGCUAAUACCGCAUAUACUCUGAGGAGGAAAGUAGGGGAUCGAAAGACCUUAUGCUUUUGGAGCGGCCGAUGUCUGAUUAGCUAGUUGGUAAGGUAAUGGCUUACCAAGGCGACGAUCAGUAGUUGGUCUGAGAGGACGGCCAGCCACACUGGGACUGAGACACGGCCCAGACUCCUACGGGAGGCUG
Molecule: ribosomal RNA, 322 nt
Filed under: uncultured Pseudomonadota bacterium
Lineage: Bacteria; Pseudomonadati; Pseudomonadota
Description: bacterial SSU rRNA
Rfam family: Bacterial small subunit ribosomal RNA
Source: RNAcentral